UCAGAGAAAAAGAAGAAAAUAAAAGGAAAACAUAAUCUGAGAUGGAGCUCGUGGAUUAUGCAAUCCAUCGAAUCAUUGGAAAGGAAGCUGGAGCGGUGAUCCGGAGGGCUUCUCACCCAUGAAAUGGGUGUUUUAUGAGCAGAACUGAGUAAAAGAAAACAUCAACUUGCAUAAAAAUCCCACAGAGGUCGCUUGAAAUCGAGCAGUAGGUGAUACCGCGUGGCAGUCCGUCACCGUGCUAAGUGUUUUCGUGAUCCGGCAAACAUCACCGUCAUGUGAAACAAAUGAAUUGGUGUAUUUCCUGCAUGAAGACGACCACAGCACACGUGUUUCGUGGUGGAGUCACGGUGUGGGGUCUCAUGGCAUCUUUGCACAUAAACACACAAACAGGAAGGCAGGUAAGAGUCCUACCAUUCAGCGAGAAGGAUCACAGAGUGAAUGAUGGUGACAGCGAGUGGUAUGGCCUGUCAGCGCAGAUGGACUUCUCCCCAAAUAGGCAGCUGCUCCCAGGCGACCGUGCUCCCUGGCACCUGCCAGCCCGUGAGUAUCAACAGUCACGGACCAGGCUGUGCCUCUCCAGUCUGGUGGUGCACAUGUGAAGGAAGCAUGGACGCUAAGCUCCCUGACCCGGACGCUCGCACACUUUAUCACACCGUCAGCAUACUGUGUUGCAAUGUCAACUUGCUUGUCGCCAUCGCUAGACUGUACGCUUCCGGAAGGUUGACCUUGAGUCUGGCAUCCAGUGGCCCUCCAUACAUAUUCCUGGAAUGAGUGAGUAUGUGGACACAGCAGCAUGAAAUCAACUUAAUUUUGUGGUUGUUUUAAUGUGAAGGAUGUAGAUAACAACUGCUACCCUGUAAGCCAUGACUAAUAUUAAUAGGUACUUUCAUUCCUAAUUACACACUCGUGCUCCUGUUGAUGU
Molecule: long non-coding RNA, 922 nt
Organism: Hyaena hyaena (striped hyena)
Lineage: Eukaryota; Metazoa; Chordata; Mammalia; Carnivora; Hyaenidae
Exons: 3
Source: RefSeq, a predicted model, not a curated record